CGUAGGGUGCGAGCGUUAAUCGGAAUUACUGGGCGUAAAGCGUGCGCAGGCGGUUUUGUAAGCCAGAUGUGAAAUCCCCGGGCUUAACCUGGGAAUGGCAUUUGGGACUGCAAGGCUGGAGUGCGGCAGAGGAGACUGGAAUUCCUGGUGUAGCAGUGAAAUGCGUAGAUAUCAGGAGGAACACCGAUGGCGAAGGCAGGUCUCUGGGCUGACACUGACGCUCAUGCACGAAAGCGUGGGGAGCAAACAGGAUUAGAUACCCUGGUAGUCCACGCCCUAAACGAUGUCGACUGGUUGUUGGGGGUUUGACACCCUCAGUAACGAAGCUGACGCGUGAAGUCGACCGCCUGGGGAGUACGGCCGCAAGGUU
This 370-nucleotide ribosomal RNA is filed under the name uncultured organism. Its description in RNAcentral is "bacterial SSU rRNA". It matches the Rfam family "Bacterial small subunit ribosomal RNA", at positions 526 to 895 of the family's 1533-position model. The record is from RNAcentral.